UACGUAGGUGGCAAGCGUUAUCCGGAAUUAUUGGGCGUAAAGAGCGCGCAGGUGGUUGAUUAAGUCUGAUGUGAAAGCCCACGGCUUAACCGUGGAGAGUCAUUGGAAACUGGUCGACUUGAGUGCAGAAGAGGGAAGUGGAAUUCCAUGUGUAGCGGUGAAAUGCGUAGAGAUAUGGAGGAACACCAGUGGCGAAGGCGGCUUCCUGGUCUGUAACUGACACUGAGGCGCGAAAGCGUGGGGAGCAAACAGGAUUAGA
Molecule: ribosomal RNA, 259 nt
Filed under: uncultured prokaryote
Description: partial 16S ribosomal RNA
Rfam family: Bacterial small subunit ribosomal RNA
Source: RNAcentral